UACGGAGGGGGUUAGCGUUGUUCGGAAUUACUGGGCGUAAAGCGCGCGUAGGCGGACUAUUAAGUCAGAGGUGAAAUCCCGGGGCUCAACCCCGGAACUGCCUUUGAUACUGGUAGUCUUGAGUUCGAGAGAGGUAAGUGGAAUUCCGAGUGUAGAGGUGAAAUUCGUAGAUAUUCGGAGGAACACCAGUGGCGAAGGCGGCUUACUGGCUCGAUACUGACGCUGAGGUGCGAAAGUGUGGGGAGCAAACAGGAUUAGAUACCCCGGUAGUCC
Molecule: ribosomal RNA, 273 nt
Filed under: uncultured bacterium
Lineage: Bacteria
Description: partial 16S ribosomal RNA
Rfam family: Bacterial small subunit ribosomal RNA
Source: RNAcentral